This 699-nucleotide ribosomal RNA is filed under the name uncultured Staphylococcus sp. Its description in RNAcentral is "bacterial SSU rRNA". It matches the Rfam family "Bacterial small subunit ribosomal RNA", at positions 61 to 742 of the family's 1533-position model. The record is from RNAcentral. Lineage: Bacteria; Bacillati; Bacillota; Bacilli; Caryophanales; Staphylococcaceae.
GUCGAGCGAACAGACGAGGAGCUUGCUCCUCUGACGUUAGCGGCGGACGGGUGAGUAACACGUGGAUAACCUACCUAUAAGACUGGGAUAACUUCGGGAAACCGGAGCUAAUACCGGAUAAUAUAUUGAACCGCAUGGUUCAAUAGUGAAAGACGGUUUUGCUGUCACUUAUAGAUGGAUCCGCGCCGCAUUAGCUAGUUGGUAAGGUAACGGCUUACCAAGGCAACGAUGCGUAGCCGACCUGAGAGGGUGAUCGGCCACACUGGAACUGAGACACGGUCCAGACUCCUACGGGAGGCAGCAGUAGGGAAUCUUCCGCAAUGGGCGAAAGCCUGACGGAGCAACGCCGCGUGAGUGACGAAGGUCUUCGGAUCGUAAAACUCUGUUAUUAGGGAAGAACAAAUGUGUAAGUAACUAUGCACGUCUUGACGGUACCUAAUCAGAAAGCCACGGCUAACUACGUGCCAGCAGCCGCGGUAAUACGUAGGUGGCAAGCGUUAUCCGGAAUUAUUGGGCGUAAAGCGCGCGUAGGCGGUUUUUUAAGUCUGAUGUGAAAGCCCACGGCUCAACCGUGGAGGGUCAUUGGAAACUGGAAAACUUGAGUGCAGAAGAGGAAAGUGGAAUUCCAUGUGUAGCGGUGAAAUGCGCAGAGAUAUGGAGGAACACCAGUGGCGAAGGCGACUUUCUGGUCUGUAACUG